RNAcentral lists this ribosomal RNA (610 nucleotides) under uncultured bacterium. RNAcentral describes it as "bacterial SSU rRNA". It matches the Rfam family "Bacterial small subunit ribosomal RNA", at positions 241 to 842 of the family's 1533-position model. The record is from RNAcentral.
UUAGCUAGUUGGUGGGGUAAAGGCUUACCAAGGCAAUGAUGCGUAGCCGAACUGAGAGGUUGAUCGGCCACAUUGGGACUGAGACACGGCCCAAACUCCUACGGGAGGCAGCAGUAGGGAAUCUUCCACAAUGGGCGAAAGCCUGAUGGAGCAACGCCGCGUGGGUGAAGAAGGUCUUCGGAUCGUAAAACCCUGUUGUUAGAGAAGAAAGUGCGUGAGAGUAACUGUUCACGUUUCGACGGUAUCUAACCAGAAAGCCACGGCUAACUACGUGCCAGCAGCCGCGGUAAUACGUAGGUGGCAAGCGUUAUCCGGAUUUAUUGGGCGUAAAGGGAACGCAGGCGGUCUUUUAAGUCUGAUGUGAAAGCCUUCGGCUUAACCGGAGUAGUGCAUUGGAAACUGGGAGACUUGAGUGCAGAAGAGGAGAGUGGAACUCCAUGUGUAGCGGUGAAAUGCGUAGAUAUAUGGAAGAACACCAGUGGCGAAAGCGGCUCUCUGGUCUGUAACUGACGCUGAGGUUCGAAAGCGUGGGUAGCAAACAGGAUUAGAUACCCUGGUAGUCCACGCCGUAAACGAUGAAUGCUAAGUGUUGGAGGGUUUCCGCCCUUCA